UACGGGGGGGGUAAGCGUUGUUCGGAAUUACUGGGCAUAAAGGGCUCGUAGGCGGCCAACUAAGUCAUACGUGAAAUCCCUCAGCUUAACUGGGGAACUGCGUGUGAUACUGGAUGGCUUGGAUUUGGGAGAGGGAUGCGGAAUUCCAGGUGUAGCGGUGAAAUGCGUAGAUAUCCGGAGGAACACCGGUGGCGAAGGCGGCUUCCUGGACCGAUUACUGACGCUGAGGCGCGAAAGCUAGGGGAGCAAACGGG
This 254-nucleotide ribosomal RNA is filed under the name uncultured bacterium. Its description in RNAcentral is "partial 16S ribosomal RNA". It matches the Rfam family "Bacterial small subunit ribosomal RNA", at positions 524 to 776 of the family's 1533-position model. The record is from RNAcentral.